This 253-nucleotide ribosomal RNA is filed under the name uncultured bacterium. RNAcentral's name for it is "partial 16S ribosomal RNA". It matches the Rfam family "Bacterial small subunit ribosomal RNA", at positions 524 to 776 of the family's 1533-position model. The record is from RNAcentral.
UACGUAGGAUGCAAGCGUUAUCCGGAUUUAUUGGGUUUAAAGGGUGCGUAGGCGGCCUAUUAAGUUAGUGGUGAAAACGUUCGGCUUAACCGGAUACCCGCCAUUGAUACUGAUAGACUUGAGUGCGACAGAGGGUGUUGGAAUGUGUGGUGUAGCGGUGAAAUGCUUAGAUAUCACGCAGAACACCAAUUGCGAAGGCAGAUGCCUAUGUCGUAACUGACCAUGAGGCACGAAAGCGUGGGGAGCAAACAGG